GCCCACACACUAAAACUGGAACAAUACAGGGAAGAUCAGCAUGGUACCUGCACAAAGAUGACAUACAAGCCAAUCUGUGACAGCUAUUCUU
Molecule: small nuclear RNA, 91 nt
Filed under: Peromyscus maniculatus bairdii (prairie deer mouse)
Lineage: Eukaryota; Metazoa; Chordata; Mammalia; Rodentia; Cricetidae
Source: RNAcentral